RNA transcript from Vanessa tameamea, 604 nucleotides. RefSeq lists it as uncharacterized. NCBI's taxonomy places the organism in Eukaryota, Metazoa, Arthropoda, Insecta, Lepidoptera, Nymphalidae. The record is from RefSeq and is a predicted model, not a curated record. The transcript has 4 exons.
GACCGAACCGUUUAAUUUUCUACACUACAGUAUAAGAAACCAGCCAUACGAAAUGGUUAGUCUAUAAUGAAUAAUGAAAAAACAAAACAGAAAAAAAAAAUCCGACAGAGAACUAGUAUUCAAACAACUGCAACAGCAACGAACUCUGAAAAACAUGAAAUCGCGGAUGGUGGUAAUAUCAACAAAGAACCAUUAAAACCACUCUGUCCAUUGUUGGCCAAAGAUUCGGAAUGGGUUGAUAUUUUACAAAGUAGUACAAACGAUAAAAAAUCCAACAAAAAUAAUGACGAGGAAGUACUACAACACGUAGUGUGAAGAUAGACGACAAAUAGAGCCUCUAGCUUUAAUGUUCCCUGGCUUACUUGAAAAAGACCCUGAAAUGUUAGAAGGAAUGUUAAAUAAGGCUAUGUCAACGACAGAAGUAACUAAAUAUUUGGUUGGUCAAAAAGCUAAUUUCACGUUCAUGAAAAAAGUGAAUCGUCUAAUUCCCACUGACAAGAAAUGGUUGGAAAGUUUAAGCGAAGACAGUUCCUCCUGCUGUUCAAUAGAAUCCAAAUCACACGAUUAGGGUAACCUUUUAAAAUAUAAAGUACAUCUAAGAUUC